GAAAAAUCUUUGGGGUAAUCACAGAUAGCAGUUUCCAGGAGAGCCUGGAGAUGGCUGCCUUGCUUGGAGCUCCGUGAUUAGCCUGGUUGCCUGCAUCAUACUGCAAAGUUGUAUGGAGGAUUUCAUCACACAUCAGAUGGCUCAUUUUACUGUGGGACUGCAAACAAAUUCACUUGCUCUUCAAUAUUUCACAAUUAGAACCGCUCUAGCUGGCCACGGCAGGAAAUAAAUUAGAGAGAAAGCACCAAGACAUUUCAAUAUUAUAUUAUGACAUGCCUGAGUGCCACCAGCUCAAGAGUGUUAUGACCUUUAGGAUGAAGCAUUGUGGGAAAAGAGCCACAGACUUCAUUACUAAACAGAAGG
Rhineura floridana is the source of this 363-nucleotide long non-coding RNA. RefSeq lists it as uncharacterized. The record is from RefSeq and is a predicted model, not a curated record. Lineage: Eukaryota; Metazoa; Chordata; Lepidosauria; Squamata; Rhineuridae. The transcript is spliced from 3 exons.